Molecule: long non-coding RNA, 1419 nt
Organism: Mus musculus (house mouse)
Lineage: Eukaryota; Metazoa; Chordata; Mammalia; Rodentia; Muridae
Product: predicted gene, 35249
Exons: 3
Source: RefSeq, a predicted model, not a curated record
UUGUUGCACCUAGGAUCCUUUCUAAGCAAAGUGCAGUUUCCUGUUGAGGUCAAGUCUCAUGUAGAGCAAGAAGCCCCAUGAGCACUGCAUGGGGCACUACGUUGUCACUGGGCGAUGACUGACUGUUGCCUCCAGAGGCCCUCCUUGGUGAGGUCAAGGAAAGAGGAGCCACUAAGCAGGCCAGUCACUAAACCCACCUCAGGACUGCAGGAGAGGGAAAGGGGCCACUGGGCAAUUGGUAACUAUAGGAAUGGGACCAAUACACAAACCUCAGAUCAAGACAUUGGAUCUACAGCCACGGGGUGGGUCUGGAAAUUUAGGGACAUGGAUUACUAUGUCUUAGCAUAUAGGAACUCCACUUGCUUCAUCCCUAAGCAGAUCUUCCAUCUGUAUAUUUUGACCACAUCUUAUGCACUGAUGUCCCAGGUCUACCCUCCAGCCGUCUCCAGGCAUCAAUCUGCCAGAGCCUCCCUUUCCCCACCCUACUGAUACCUAACACUUAGCCUAUAAACAACAGGACAGUAGUCCAGGUAUGCCCAAAGCCAGUGGUGUGGAUUCUAGCGAGCCUCUGAGGUGGGGGAAAGAGGCCAAAUAGCAUGGCCCAGUGAUCUUUAACAAAUGGAAUCCCCCUGCCUUAUCUGGUUAUGAUGUCAGUGUGAUUGUGACAGACUGUGACCAUGACGACAGUGUGAUCAUGAUGAGAGUGUGAUCCUGAUGGCAGUGUGAUCAUGAUGAGAGUGUGACCUUUGGCAGUGUGGUCAUGACUACAGUGUAACCAUGACUAAAGUGAGAUCAUGGCAACAGUGUGAUCUAGGGUCUUUUCCCUUCUGAUCCAUGGAGACACUGGGUUUCCAGAAUUCAUCUCACCCUCCUUGACUCUUGUCUUCUCUUGAAGAUAAUGUUAACAAAAUUAUCAUAUCAUUUCCUCCCAAACUACAGCAUGCAAGCCUGACAGUGAGGUAAGGAUGGAGUUUAGGAUUUUCAGAACGCUUGUCAUUUCCCAGCAGUUAUUGCUUUGGGAUUUGGGACAUAAGAACUACUUGCUACCAACCAGACUACUUUCUGCAAUCAGGGGCACAGAAGUCAAGGUGUAUGAUCCACAGCUUCCUGAGGGCUUGAGGUUGAGAUGUGGAGAAGAUUGUGGCCACACCCCUUCCCUAUUGUAUUUUUUCUCCAAGUGAUGGGACAGCGCACAAAAGUAGAAGAGAAUGGCCUCAUGAGAUGCCAGGCAGCAGCCAAAGUGAACCACCACACAAGAAGACUGGGUAUCUUGCCCCACCCCUGCCCGAGAGCAUAGGCACGGCUGGGGCAGCUUCCUCAAUUCCCCAGCCAUCCUUCAACUGGCUCCACCCACUCUGAGGAUCAGCAGAAGUGUGGGGCUGGAGAGAUGGCUCAGUGGUUUAGAGCACUGACUGUUCU